CCUACGGGAGGCAGCAGUGGGGAAUAUUGCACAAUGGGGGGAACCCUGAUGCAGCGACGCCGCGUGAGUGAAGAAGUAUUUCGGUAUGUAAAGCUCUAUCAGCAGGGAAGAAAAUGACGGUACCUGACUAAGAAGCACCGGCUAACUACGUGCCAGCAGCCGCGGUAAUACGGAGGGGGCAAGCGUUAUCCGGAUUUACUGGGUGUAAAGGGAGCGCAGACGGCUGUGCAAGUCUGGAGUGAAAGGCGGGGGCUCAACCCCGGGACUGCUCUUGGAACUGCAUGGCUGGAGUACAGGAGGGGCAGGCGGAAUUCCUGGUGUAGCGGUGAAAUGCGUAGAUAUUAGGAGGAACACCGGUGGCGAAGGCGGCCUGCUGGACUGUGACUGACGUUGAGGCCCGAAGGCGUGGGGAGCAAACAGGAUUAGAUACCCCGGUAGUC
Molecule: ribosomal RNA, 440 nt
Filed under: uncultured bacterium
Lineage: Bacteria
Description: partial 16S ribosomal RNA
Rfam family: Bacterial small subunit ribosomal RNA
Source: RNAcentral